Molecule: ribosomal RNA, 588 nt
Filed under: uncultured bacterium
Lineage: Bacteria
Description: bacterial SSU rRNA
Rfam family: Bacterial small subunit ribosomal RNA
Source: RNAcentral
ACUCCUACGGGAGGCAGCAGCUAAGAAUAUUCCGCAAUGGACGAAAGUCUGACGGAGCGACGCCGCGUGGAUGACGAAGGCCGAAAGGUUGUAAAAUCCUUUUGCUGGGGAAGAAUAAGCAUGGGAGGGAAUGCCCGUGUGAUGACAUGAACCGGCGAAUAAGCCCCGGCUAACUACGUGCCAGCAGCCGCGGUAACACGUAGGGGGCGAGCGUUGUUCGGAAUUACUGGGCGUAAAGGGCAUGUAGGCGGCCUUGUAAGCCUGGCGUGAAAUUCCACGGCUCAACCGUGGGAAUGCGUCGGGAACUGCGAGGCUUGAGUGACGGAGAGGGAGCUAGAAUUCCUGGUGUAGGGGUGAAAUCUGUAGAUAUCAGGAAGAAUACCAAUGGCGAAGGCAAGCUCCUGGCCGAUGACUGACGCUGAGGUGCGAAAGUGUGGGGAUCAAACAGGAUUAGAUACCCUGGUAGUCCACACGGUAAACGAUGUGCACUAGGUGCUGGGGCGGAUGCUUCAGUGCCGGAGCUAACGCGGUAAGUGCACCGCCUGGGGAGUAUGCUCGCAAGGGUGAAACUCAAAGGAAUUGACGGGG